AGAGUUUGAUCCUGGCUCAGGAUGAACGCUGGCGGCGUGCCUAACACAUGCAAGUCGAGCGAGAAAUAAAGGAAUGAAGCUUCGGUAGAUUUUCUUUAUGGAAAGCGGCGGACGGGUGAGUAACGCGUAGGCAACCUGCCCUGUACAGGGGGAUAGCCACCCGAAAAGGUGAUUAAUACCCCAUAACGCAAGAGAUACACAUGUAUCACUUGUCAAAGAUUUAUCGGUAUAGGAUGGGCCUGCGUCUGAUUAGCUAGUUGGUAGGGUAACGGCUUACCAAGGCAACGAUCAGUAGCCGACCUGAGAGGGUGAUCGGCCACAUUGGAACUGAGACACGGUCCAAACUCCUACGGGAGGCAGCAGUGGGGAAUAUUGCACAAUGGGCGCAAGCCUGAUGCAGCAACGCCGCGUGAAGGAUGAAGGCCUUCGGGUUGUAAACUUCUGUCCUAGGGGAAGAAACAAAUGACAUUACCCUUGGAGGAAGCCCCGGCUAACUACGUGCCAGCAGCCGCGGUAAUACGUAGGGGGCGAGCGUUAUCCGGAAUUAUUGGGCGUAAAGAGUGCGUAGGUGGCACCUUAAGCGCAGGGUUUAAGGCAAUGGCUCAACCAUUGUUCGCCUUGCGAACUGGGGUGCUUGAGUGCAGGAGGGGAAAGUGGAAUUCCUAGUGUAGCGGUGAAAUGCGUAGAUAUUAGGAGGAACACCAGUGGCGAAGGCGACUUUCUGGACUGUUACUGACACUGAGGCACGAAAGCGUGGGGAGCAAACAGGAUUAGAUACCCUGGUAGUCCACGCCGUAAACGAUGAGCACU
Molecule: ribosomal RNA, 810 nt
Filed under: uncultured Fusobacterium sp.
Lineage: Bacteria; Fusobacteriati; Fusobacteriota; Fusobacteriia; Fusobacteriales; Fusobacteriaceae
Description: bacterial SSU rRNA
Rfam family: Bacterial small subunit ribosomal RNA
Source: RNAcentral